AAGAAGUCCGGGGGGCUGCUGGGGGGGAUUGUCUCGGGGCUGUUCCCGGAUGAUCCCCUGGAGCUCAACCCUGUGCUGGGGAAGAUCGCGCUCCGAUUCCUGACCAAGACGGUGCUGGACAAGGAUGCAACCGAGGGGAAUGCGCUCACCGAGACCGGGAUCAAGCUGUGGACCGCGCCGCAGAUCGCCCCGGUGCUCAACGCGGGCCUGCCCGCCGUGAUCCAGGAGCCGCUGCUCCACACCGCGCCC
This 249-nucleotide long non-coding RNA is filed under the name Selaginella moellendorffii. RNAcentral's name for it is "long non-coding RNA (SMOE_LNC001258)". Lineage: Eukaryota; Viridiplantae; Streptophyta; Lycopodiopsida; Selaginellales; Selaginellaceae. The record is from RNAcentral.